This 744-nucleotide ribosomal RNA is filed under the name uncultured bacterium. RNAcentral's name for it is "bacterial SSU rRNA". It matches the Rfam family "Bacterial small subunit ribosomal RNA", at positions 33 to 773 of the family's 1533-position model. The record is from RNAcentral.
ACGCUGGCGGCAGGCCUAACACGUGCAAGUCGAGCGGUAGAGAGAAGCUUGCUUCUCUUGAGAGCGGCGGACGGGUGAGUAAUGCCUAGGAAUCUGCCUGGUAGUGGGGGAUAACGUUCGGAAACGGACGCUAAUACCGCAUACGUCCUACGGGAGAAAGCAGGGGACCUUCGGGCCUUGCGCUAUCAGAUGAGCCUAGGUCGGAUUAGCUAGUUGGUGGGGUAAUGGCUCACCAAGGCGACGAUCCGUAACUGGUCUGAGAGGAUGAUCAGUCACACUGGAACUGAGACACGGUCCAGACUCCUACGGGAGGCAGCAGUGGGGAAUAUUGGACAAUGGGCGAAAGCCUGAUCCAGCCAUGCCGCGUGUGUGAAGAAGGUCUUCGGAUUGUAAAGCACUUUAAGUUGGGAGGAAGGGUUGUAGAUUAAUACUCUGCGAUUUUGACGUUACCGACAGAAUAAGCACCGGCUAACUCUGUGCCAGCAGCCGCGGUAAUACAGAGGGUGCAAGCGUUAAUCGGAAUUACUGGGCGUAAAGCGCGCGUAGGUGGUUAGUUAAGUUGGAUGUGAAACCCCGGGCUCAACCUGGGAACUGCAUUCAAAACUGACUGACUAGAGUAUGGUAGAGGGUGGUGGAAUUUCCUGUGUAGCGGUGAAAUGCGUAGAUAUAGGAAGGAACACCAGUGGCGAAGGCGACCACCUGGACUGAUACUGACACUGAGGUGCGAAAGCGUGGGGAGCAAAC